GCGGUUGUAGCUCAGUUGGUAGAGCCGCGGAUUGUGAUUCCGGUUGUCGCGGGUUCAAGCCCCGUCAAUCGCCCCA
Molecule: transfer RNA, 76 nt
Filed under: Klebsiella pneumoniae
Lineage: Bacteria; Pseudomonadati; Pseudomonadota; Gammaproteobacteria; Enterobacterales; Enterobacteriaceae
Description: tRNA-His
Rfam family: tRNA
About the family: Transfer RNA (tRNA) molecules are approximately 80 nucleotides in length. Their secondary structure includes four short double-helical elements and three loops (D, anti-codon, and T loops).
Source: RNAcentral